AUUGAACGCUGGCGGCAGGCCUAACACAUGCAAGUCGAACGGUAACAGGAAGAUGCUUGCUUCUUUGCUGACGAGUGGCGGACGGGUGAGUAAUGUCUGGGAAACUGCCUGAUGGAGGGGGAUAACUACUGGAAACGGUAGCUAAUACCGCAUAACGUCGCAAGCCCAAAGAGGGGGACCUUCGGGCCUCUUGCCAUCGGAUGUGCCCAGAUGGUAUUAGCUAGUAGGUGGGGUAACGGCUCACCUAGGCGACGAUCCCUAGCUGGUCUGAGAGGAUGAACAGCCACACUGGAACUGAGACACGGUCCAGACUCCGACGGGAGGCAGCAGUGGGGAAUAUUGCACAAUGGGCGGAAGCCUGAUGCAGCCAUGCCGCGUGUAUGAAGAAGGCCUGCGGGUUGUAAAGUACUUUCAGCGGGGAGGAAGGGAGUAAAGUUAAUACCUUUACUCAUGGACGUUACCCGCAGAAGAAGCACCGGCAAACUCCGG
Molecule: ribosomal RNA, 489 nt
Filed under: uncultured bacterium
Lineage: Bacteria
Description: partial 16S ribosomal RNA
Rfam family: Bacterial small subunit ribosomal RNA
Source: RNAcentral